This 254-nucleotide ribosomal RNA is filed under the name uncultured bacterium. RNAcentral's name for it is "partial 16S ribosomal RNA". It matches the Rfam family "Bacterial small subunit ribosomal RNA", at positions 524 to 776 of the family's 1533-position model. The record is from RNAcentral.
UACGGGGGGAGCAAGCGUUGUUCGGAUUUACUGGGCGUAAAGGGCGGGUAGGCGGCCACCGCAAGUCGACUGUGAAAUCUCCGGGCUUAACCCGGAAAGGUCAGCCGAUACUGCGGGGCUAGAGUGCAGAAGGGGCAACUGGAAUUCUCGGUGUAGCGGUGAAAUGCGUAGAUAUCGAGAGGAACACCUGUGGCGAAGGCGGGUUGCUGGGCUGACACUGACGCUGAACUGCGAAAGCUAGGGGAGCGAACGGG